UACAGAGGGGGCAAGCGUUGUUCGGAAUUACUGGGCGUAAAGGGCGCGUAGGCGGCCUCUUAAGUCGAACGUGAAAUCCCCGGGCUCAACCCGGGAACUGCGUCCGAUACUGGGGGGCUUGAAUCCGGGAGAGGGAUGUGGAAUUCCAGGUGUAGCGGUGAAAUGCGUAGAUAUCUGGAGGAACACCGGUGGCGAAGGCGGCAUCCUGGACCGGUAUUGACGCUGAGGCGCGAAAGCCAGGGGAGCGAACGGG
This 253-nucleotide ribosomal RNA is filed under the name uncultured bacterium. RNAcentral describes it as "partial 16S ribosomal RNA". It matches the Rfam family "Bacterial small subunit ribosomal RNA", at positions 524 to 776 of the family's 1533-position model. The record is from RNAcentral.